Molecule: ribosomal RNA, 497 nt
Filed under: uncultured bacterium
Lineage: Bacteria
Description: partial 16S ribosomal RNA
Rfam family: Bacterial small subunit ribosomal RNA
Source: RNAcentral
GAUGAACGCUGGCGGCGUGCCUAAUACAUGCAAGUCGAGCGAACAGAUGAGGAGCUUGCUCCUCUGACGUUAGCGGCGGACGGGUGAGUAACACGUGGAUAACCUACCUAUAAGACUGGGAUAACUUCGGGAAACCGGAGCUAAUACCGGAUAAUAUAUUGAACCGCAUGGUUCAAUAGUGAAAGACGGUUUUGCUGUCACUUAUAGAUGGAUCCGCGCCGCAUUAGCUAGUUGGUAAGGUAACGGCUUACCAAGGCAACGAUGCGUAGCCGACCUGAGAGGGUGAUCGGCCACACUGGAACGGAGACACGGUCCAGAGUCCUACGGGAGGCAGCAGUAGGGAAUCUUCCGCAAUGGGCGAAAGCCUGACGGAGCAACGCCGCGUGAGUGAUGAAGGUCUUCGGAUCGUAAAACUCUGUUAUUAGGGAAGAACAAAUGUGUAAGUAACUGUGCACAUCUUGACGGUACCUAAUCAGAAAGCCACGGCUAACUACGUG